RNAcentral lists this ribosomal RNA (254 nucleotides) under uncultured bacterium. Its description in RNAcentral is "partial 16S ribosomal RNA". It matches the Rfam family "Bacterial small subunit ribosomal RNA", at positions 524 to 776 of the family's 1533-position model. The record is from RNAcentral.
UACGAAGGGGGGCUAGCGUUGUUCGGAAUUACUGGGCGUAAAGCGCGUGUAGGCGGGUCUUUAAGUCAGGGGUGAAAUGCCAGGGCUCAACCUUGGAACUGCCUUUGAUACUGGAGACCUUGAGUCCGGGAGAGGUGAGUGGAAUUGCGAGUGUAGAGGUGAAAUUCGUAGAUAUUCGCAAGAACACCAGUGGCGAAGGCGGCUCACUGGCCCGGAACUGACGCUGAGACACGAAAGCGUGGGUAGCAAACAGG